UGAUACUGGUGGUGAGGACAAUCUCAGA
RNAcentral lists this non-coding RNA (28 nucleotides) under Rattus norvegicus (Norway rat). The record is from RNAcentral. Lineage: Eukaryota; Metazoa; Chordata; Mammalia; Rodentia; Muridae.